This 2925-nucleotide ribosomal RNA is filed under the name Klebsiella aerogenes. RNAcentral's name for it is "bacterial LSU rRNA". It matches the Rfam family "Bacterial large subunit ribosomal RNA". Lineage: Bacteria; Pseudomonadati; Pseudomonadota; Gammaproteobacteria; Enterobacterales; Enterobacteriaceae. The record is from RNAcentral.
GGGUUGUGAGGUUAAGCGACUAAGCGUACACGGUGGAUGCCCUGGCAGUCAGAGGCGAUGAAGGACGUGCUAAUCUGCGAAAAGCGUCGGUAAGGUGAUAUGAACCGUUACAGCCGGCGAUGUCCGAAUGGGGAAACCCAGUGUGAUUCGUCACACUAUCGUUAACUGAAUACAUAGGUUAACGAGGCGAACCGGGGGAACUGAAACAUCUAAGUACCCCGAGGAAAAGAAAUCAACCGAGAUUCCCCCAGUAGCGGCGAGCGAACGGGGAGCAGCCCAGAGUCUGAAUCAGCUUGUGUGUUAGUGGAACGGUCUGGAAAGUCCGACGGUACAGGGUGAUAGUCCCGUACACCAAAAUGCACAGGUUGUGAACUCGAAGAGUAGGGCGGGACACGUGGUAUCCUGUCUGAAUAUGGGGGGACCAUCCUCCAAGGCUAAAUACUCCUGACUGACCGAUAGUGAACCAGUACCGUGAGGGAAAGGCGAAAAGAACCCCGGCGAGGGGAGUGAAAAAGAACCUGAAACCGUGUACGUACAAGCAGUGGGAGCACCUUCGGGUGUGACUGCGUACCUUUUGUAUAAUGGGUCAGCGACUUAUAUUCUGUAGCAAGGUUAACCGUAUAGGGGAGCCGCAGGGAAACCGAGUCUUAACUGGGCGUUAAGUUGCAGGGUAUAGACCCGAAACCCGGUGAUCUAGCCAUGGGCAGGUUGAAGGUUGGGUAACACUAACUGGAGGACCGAACCGACUAAUGUUGAAAAAUUAGCGGAUGACUUGUGGCUGGGGGUGAAAGGCCAAUCAAACCGGGAGAUAGCUGGUUCUCCCCGAAAGCUAUUUAGGUAGCGCCUCGUGAAUUCAUCUUCGGGGGUAGAGCACUGUUUCGGCUAGGGGGUCAUCCCGACUUACCAACCCGAUGCAAACUACGAAUACCGAAGAAUGUUAUCACGGGAGACACACGGCGGGUGCUAACGUCCGUCGUGAAGAGGGAAACAACCCAGACCGCCAGCUAAGGUCCCAAAGUCACAGUUAAGUGGGAAACGAUGUGGGAAGGCACAGACAGCCAGGAUGUUGGCUUAGAAGCAGCCAUCAUUUAAAGAAAGCGUAAUAGCUCACUGGUCGAGUCGGCCUGCGCGGAAGAUGUAACGGGGCUAAACUGUGCACCGAAGCUGCGGCAGCGACACUAUGUGUUGUUGGGUAGGGGAGCGUUCUGUAAGCCUGCGAAGGUGGCCUGUGAGGGUUGCUGGAGGUAUCAGAAGUGCGAAUGCUGACAUAAGUAACGAUAAUGCGGGUGAAAAGCCCGCACGCCGGAAGACCAAGGGUUCCUGUCCAACGUUAAUCGGGGCAGGGUGAGUCGACCCCUAAGGCGAGGCCGAAAGGCGUAGUCGAUGGGAAACAGGUUAAUAUUCCUGUACUUGGUGUUACUGCGAAGGGGGGACGGAGAAGGCUAUGUUAGCCGGGCGACGGUUGUCCCGGUUUAAGCAUGUAGGCGGAGGUUCCAGGUAAAUCCGGUACCUUUUAACGCUGAGGUGUGAUGACGAGGCACUACGGUGCUGAAGUAACAAAUGCCCUGCUUCCAGGAAAAGCCUCUAAGCAUCAGGUAACAUUGAAUCGUACCCCAAACCGACACAGGUGGUCAGGUAGAGAAUACCAAGGCGCUUGAGAGAACUCGGGUGAAGGAACUAGGCAAAAUGGUGCCGUAACUUCGGGAGAAGGCACGCUGAUAUGUAGGUGAAGCCCCUGCGGGUGGAGCUGAAAUCAGUCGAAGAUACCAGCUGGCUGCAACUGUUUAUUAAAAACACAGCACUGUGCAAACACGAAAGUGGACGUAUACGGUGUGACGCCUGCCCGGUGCCGGAAGGUUAAUUGAUGGGGUUAUCCGUAAGGAGAAGCUCUUGAUCGAAGCCCCGGUAAACGGCGGCCGUAACUAUAACGGUCCUAAGGUAGCGAAAUUCCUUGUCGGGUAAGUUCCGACCUGCACGAAUGGCGUAAUGAUGGCCAGGCUGUCUCCACCCGAGACUCAGUGAAAUUGAACUCGCUGUGAAGAUGCAGUGUACCCGCGGCAAGACGGAAAGACCCCGUGAACCUUUACUAUAGCUUGACACUGAACAUUGAGCCUUGAUGUGUAGGAUAGGUGGGAGGCUUUGAAGCGUGGACGCCAGUCUGCGUGGAGCCAACCUUGAAAUACCACCCUUUAAUGUUUGAUGUUCUAACGUUGGCCCCUUAUCGGGGUUGCGGACAGUGUCUGGUGGGUAGUUUGACUGGGGCGGUCUCCUCCCAAAGAGUAACGGAGGAGCACGAAGGUUAGCUAAUCCUGGUCGGACAUCAGGAGGUUAGUGCAAUGGCAUAAGCUAGCUUGACUGCGAGCGUGACGGCGCGAGCAGGUGCGAAAGCAGGUCAUAGUGAUCCGGUGGUUCUGAAUGGAAGGGCCAUCGCUCAACGGAUAAAAGGUACUCCGGGGAUAACAGGCUGAUACCGCCCAAGAGUUCAUAUCGACGGCGGUGUUUGGCACCUCGAUGUCGGCUCAUCACAUCCUGGGGCUGAAGUAGGUCCCAAGGGUAUGGCUGUUCGCCAUUUAAAGUGGUACGCGAGCUGGGUUUAGAACGUCGUGAGACAGUUCGGUCCCUAUCUGCCGUGGGCGCUGGAGAAUUGAGGGGGGCUGCUCCUAGUACGAGAGGACCGGAGUGGACGCAUCACUGGUGUUCGGGUUGUCAUGCCAAUGGCAUUGCCCGGUAGCUAAAUGCGGAAGAGAUAAGUGCUGAAAGCAUCUAAGCACGAAACUUGCCCCGAGAUGAGUUCUCCCUGAGACUUUAAGUCUCCUGAAGGAACGUUAAAGACGAUGACGUUGAUAGGUCGGGUGUGUAAGCGUAGCGAUACGUUGAGCUAACCGAUACUAAUGAACCGUGAGGCUUAACCUUACAACGCCGAAG